This 924-nucleotide long non-coding RNA is filed under the name Crocodylus porosus (Australian saltwater crocodile). RNAcentral describes it as "lncRNA (ENSCPRG00005012793.1)". Lineage: Eukaryota; Metazoa; Chordata; Crocodylia; Crocodylidae. The record is from RNAcentral.
CAACACUGGAUUAUACUCCCUCAUUGACUAAUUACUUCUUCACUCCCCUACAGCUGCCUCACUGCAUCUAAUUCUGCUUUGUUUUCCUGCAUAUUGUCCUGCUGCUGAGUGCCAGGCUAGAGGGGCUCCAACAAAUGAAGCCCUUUCACUGCUUCAACCGUCUUUUGCAUCUGCCUCAGCAGCCUUCCCUGUGUGUUGCUGCCCUUGUGUGAAGCUGCUGCACAGAAAGUGAUGGAGAGGAGGCUCAUGGUAAAGGGAUUUUUAUAUACAAGGCUACCUUCCUCCAAAACCUCAGCAUCAUGGUCAGUUCAUAGCAAAAACUGCAGCUCAUCUCUCAAAGCCUAGAAAAAAAACUCUACAACAGCUCAGUACAACACAAUGGACAAACUGAACAGGAACGAAAGAGGGGAAGGAAGGAAAAAAGGACAGAAGGAUGGAAGGAAAGCUGAAAGGAAGACAAAAAAAGCAAAAAAGAAAAAGAAAAGAACAGCCGUCCCCUUUAUCUGAGUUAUUUUCAACUAAGAAAUGUGAGUUACAACAUCACUUGGACUCAUCACAAUACACUGCGAUGUUGGAUACAGCCUUUGGUAUAAGGAACGAUUUCCUCCUUCUCCCACUCUCUGACCUGACCCAGGAAAACCAGAGUGAGGCUGGAGCAAGGGGACAUGUGUGAACAUUUUUCUAUGGAGUUGUCCACUGAACACGGUAUGGGUGUUGGGGUAGAGAGUAAGAGUUUGAUCACAUCCCUGAACUGUUUGACUUGUUGGUCCAGUAAAGGCUCUCACAUUACCCACCUCACAAAGACUGUUUGCUUGCCUCGUCUUUAUGUAUAAUCAGUCACAUGUCUAGGAGACCAGAUGUCUAGGAUACCUGAAGAUUGAAGGUGCUUUGUUUAUCUUGCUCAAAAUCACUUGUUCUUCUGUA